GUCUGCACUUGUCGGGGAAGGGUGAGAACCUUCGAUUAAGGUUCGACUCGAGCGAAAGCGAGAGAACGUUGCCAACGGCAACGGCCCGUAGGGUGAGGAGCGAAACGACGAAUAAUCCUUCCCCCACCACCA
Molecule: small RNA, 132 nt
Filed under: Salmonella enterica
Lineage: Bacteria; Pseudomonadati; Pseudomonadota; Gammaproteobacteria; Enterobacterales; Enterobacteriaceae
Also listed under: 1 other name
Description: RtT sRNA
Rfam family: RtT RNA
About the family: This family represents a bacterial cis-regulatory element known as RtT RNA. The exact function of RtT is unknown although it is thought that it may be involved in changing the cellular response in relation to amino acid starvation.
Source: RNAcentral